GUUGGGUAGGGGAGCGUUCUGUAAGCCUGUGAAGGUGGCCUGUGAGGGUUGCUGGAGGUAUCAGAAGUGCGAAUGCUGACAUAAGUAACGAUAAAGCGGGUGAAAAGCCCGCUCGCCGGAAGACCAAGGGUUCCUGUCCAACGUUAAUCGGGGCAGGGUGAGUCGACCCCUAAGGCGAGGCCGAAAGGCGUAGUCGAUGGGAAACGGGUUAAUAUUCCCGUACUUGGUGUUACUGCGAAGGGGGGACGGAGAAGGCUAUGUUGGCCGGGCGACGGUUGUCCCGGUUUAAGCGUGUAGGCUGGUUUUCCAGGCAAAUCCGGAAAAUCAAGGCUGAGGCGUGACGACGAGGCACUACGGUGCUGAAGCAACAAAUGCCCUGCUUCCAGGAAAAGCCUCUAAGCAUCAGGUAACAUCAAAUCGUACCCCAAACCGACACAGGUGGUCAGGUAGAGAAUACCAAGGCGCUUGAGAGAACUCGGGUGAAGGAACUAGGCAAAAUGGUGCCGUAACUUCGGGAGAAGGCACGCUGACACGUAGGUGAAGUGAUUUACUCAUGGAGCUGAAGUCAGUCGAAGAUACCAGCUGGCUGCAACUGUUUAUUAAAAACACAGCACUGUGCAAACACGAAAGUGGACGUAUACGGUGUGACGCCUGCCCGGUGCCGGAAGGUUAAUUGAUGGGGUCAGCGCAAGCGAAGCUCCUGAUCGAAGCCCCGGUAAACGGCGGCCGUAACUAUAACGGUCCUAAGGUAGCGAAAUUCCUUGUCGGGUAAGUUCCGACCUGCACGAAUGGCGUAAUGAUGGCCAGGCUGUCUCCACCCGAGACUCAGUGAAAUUGAACUCGCUGUGAAGAUGCAGUGUACCCGCGGCAAGACGGAAAGACCCCGUGAACCUUUACUAUAGCUUGACACUGAACAUUGAGCCUUGAUGUGUAGGAUAGGUGGGAGGCUUUGAAGUGUGGACGCCAGUCUGCAUGGAGCCGACCUUGAAAUACCACCCUUUAAUGUUUGAUGUUCUAACGUGGACCCGUAAUCCGGGUUGCGGACAGUGUCUGGUGGGUAGUUUGACUGGGGCGGUCUCCUCCUAAAGAGUAACGGAGGAGCACGAAGGUUGGCUAAUCCUGGUCGGACAUCAGGAGGUUAGUGCAAUGGCAUAAGCCAGCUUGACUGCGAGCGUGACGGCGCGAGCAGGUGCGAAAGCAGGUCAUAGUGAUCCGGUGGUUCUGAAUGGAAGGGCCAUCGCUCAACGGAUAAAAGGUACUCCGGGGAUAACAGGCUGAUACCGCCCAAGAGUUCAUAUCGACGGCGGUGUUUGGCACCUCGAUGUCGGCUCAUCACAUCCUGGGGCUGAAGUAGGUCCCAAGGGUAUGGCUGUUCGCCAUUUAAAGUGGUACGCGAGCUGGGUUUAGAACGUCGUGAGACAGUUCGGUCCCUAUCUGCCGUGGGCGCUGGAGAACUGAGGGGGGCUGCUCCUAGUACGAGAGGACCGGAGUGGACGCAUCACUGGUGUUCGGGUUGUCAUGCCAAUGGCACUGCCCGGUAGCUAAAUGCGGAAGAGAUAAGUGCUGAAAGCAUCUAAGCACGAAACUUGCCCCGAGAUGAGUUCUCCCUGAGACUUAGAGUCUCCUGAAGGAACGUUGAAGACGACGACGUUGAUAGGCCGGGUGUGUAAGCGCAGCGAUGCGUUGAGCUAACCGGUACUAAUGAACCGUGAGGCUUAACCUUACAACGCCGAAG
RNAcentral lists this ribosomal RNA (1735 nucleotides) under Salmonella enterica subsp. enterica serovar Kentucky. RNAcentral's name for it is "partial 23S ribosomal RNA". It matches the Rfam family "Bacterial large subunit ribosomal RNA", at positions 1223 to 2925 of the family's 2925-position model. The record is from RNAcentral. Lineage: Bacteria; Pseudomonadati; Pseudomonadota; Gammaproteobacteria; Enterobacterales; Enterobacteriaceae.